AUCAGGUCGAUUUCAUCGAUAUAUUGCCAGAAAUCUUGCAACUUCCGGAAGAAGAAGCUCCUUUCUUGGUAUAAUCGAUGAUGAAUGAGGCGAGGAAGAGAAAAGGCGAUGGCGUUUCGUCUAUAUUGACUUGAUAGUUUGCAUGAAAAAUGAACGCUGUUUAGGUCACGUCACUAUUAUCGCGCGUAACUUGCAUAUAUUAUGAUUACAUUGCGGACUUUUAUGCAUUUAUGGAAAACUUGGAGAUGCAAGAAUGCAAUGUACAUAAUACGCAAAAAUACAACGUACGUAACGUGCAAAAUUGCAGUGUACAUAAUAUGCAGAAAUGCA
Molecule: unclassified non-coding RNA, 330 nt
Filed under: Bombus terrestris (buff-tailed bumblebee)
Lineage: Eukaryota; Metazoa; Arthropoda; Insecta; Hymenoptera; Apidae
Description: misc RNA ENSBTSG00005033333.1
Source: RNAcentral